UGACGGACACGCCAUGCCUUCAUAGGACCAGCUCCAGAGGAGUGUGGCAUUGAGCCGUCCUGAAGGGUUAGCUGUCACUCGUCGCCUUUCAGGUUAUGAUGUGGAUUUCAGAAGCUAUUUCUCUUUGCUUGGUGCUUUUUCUGCAGCUUGGGCAAGUUGACUUCAAGGGAACAAAAUCGACCAAGAUCUCUGCCCCCUCAGAGCUUAUAAUCUGGAAGGGGGAGAUGGACAACGGACACUAAAAUGAAUAAAUGUGGACCCUUCUCAAGAGGGCCCAGCCUGCCCUUCAAGAAGCUUUGGGCCUAGGAUCUCGCAAGAGGCUCUAACUUUCUGUAAGGCCAUUCAUCAGGCUGCUUGCUGCCAGACCAAGAGUGUUUCCAGCUAUAUAGAGAAUUGUGAAGUGCUCUGAAGGCUGCCAACAAAAUGUCAAGUCAGCCCACUGACAGAGGAAGGAAGAGAAGCCUUUGGAAAAGACUGUGUUGUUUCCCAUUAGCUUACGUUCCUGCUGAAUCUGAGCAGCUGACCUGAGGAAGGAGGUCGGAAAGGCUAAAGGAUGAAAUGCUGGAAAUACACCAUUUUCAGCAAAGGCAAUGAUUACAGAGUCAUCUGCUCUAUGAUGUUUCCAUAGCCUUGUCACAGUGGUAGAUAGAUAGACAGACAGACAGAUAGAAAGAUAGAUAGAUAAGGUAAAUUCUCUGUCUUUACCAUAUUUUUCCCAAGGAUCUUGACAGACAUAGGCUUCUGGUUGCUUCCUUCUCCGUGGGACGCGAAAGAGUUGAUGCCAGCUAUUCACCCACCCACACUAGAACCUGGCAUCUCUCUCUGUAAAACUAAUUUGAAACCAGCAUGUUUUCCUCACUUUCUAUCUUUAUUGCAAUUUAACUCAGGUAGGGCAACUCGUUGCAACAGCCCCAGCAGAAGCAACAGAGGACUCAUGACUCCUGCCCGUACUCCUUUAGGGGAUGGCGAAACUCAGGGCGGACCUUUCCUCUUGUGUGUGGAGAGAGGGGCUUCCCUUGUGUGUCCAAGGGAUCAAGGUGAGAGGAGUUUGAGGUGGUGUUGGACUUUUAAGCCCCUUUGGAAUGUGUAAGAGUUUCAUUUUUCUUGAUGUUGGGAUGUAAUCAUUGACAUGAGCAAAAUAACACGUCUGGAGAGACAGGACUGAGCCGCCUGCUGGGGCCAGAACAGUGCGACAGAUCACCCAGACUGUGUAGUUUGACAGUUUUAGCUUUGGGUCUUGUCAAGGACAUGGCUGCUUUUUUCUGGUCUGUGGAAGGGCUCCACGGAGGCAUCUGGGAUCCCAAAUCUGUCCCCCACUGGUCUGUUUCAGGGGCUGAAAUGUCAUUUAAAAUUGAAAACUUUUUAUUCUUCUUGUGAGACAUGCGUGCCCCAUUCAACUCAAGACAUAUUUUCAUUCUUUGGUGCAAGAACUCUCCUUCAUUUAUUUUAUUUCCUUUUUCCCCCAAGCCCACUCCAGUUCCCUUAUUCCAUAGAAGCCUAUUCAAGAAUAUUUUGUAUGCAGCAAUUCAAUCCACCUUCCACAUGUUUAUUCAGAUAAGUCUAUUCUUAAAAAUAUAUAAUGCAGUAUGUUUUAAUUUAUGUAAAUAGCUCUGUGCUAUAAACCUCAUUUUGUUGUUUACUUUUUCUACUCAAUAUGUUUUUUAGAUUUAUCCAUGUUGCUGUAUUAAAAUCAAAUCCAUUACCUCCUCCUCCCACAUAGAAUUCUAUCAUAGACAAAUCCCACAAUUAUUUAUCCAGAGGGACAACUAGAUUGCUUUUUUCUCUUUGCUAUCAUAAAGAGCACAGUAAUAAACAUCCUUGCAUGUUUCUCCUUGUCCUUGGACUUGUGUAAGUGUUUCUUCCAGAUAAGUACCAAGGUGUGGGGCUGCUUCUUGUCACUCAGACCUGCCAGAUUGCCCUCAAACGCAGCAACACCAGUUACUUCUCCCAGCCAGGCCCUAGAUAGUAAUUGUUUCAUUUUUGUCAAUAAUAUUUUGGUGUUUUAUCAUGGCAUCAACUCUUGUGUCCCACUGAAAGGGAGGCAACCAGCAGCCUGUGGCUGUCGAGAUCACUGGGUAAAACAUGGAGUUUUCUUAUUUUAAUGUGCAAUUCUCUGAUUACCUGCGAGAUUGAGAAUUUCUUCAUAAACUCAUCAGCAAUUUGGGAUUCCA
Long non-coding RNA from Equus caballus (horse), 2171 nucleotides. RefSeq lists it as uncharacterized. The record is from RefSeq and is a predicted model, not a curated record. Lineage: Eukaryota; Metazoa; Chordata; Mammalia; Perissodactyla; Equidae.